Molecule: ribosomal RNA, 425 nt
Filed under: uncultured bacterium
Lineage: Bacteria
Description: bacterial SSU rRNA
Rfam family: Bacterial small subunit ribosomal RNA
Source: RNAcentral
AUUGAACGCUGGCGGCAUGCCUUACACAUGCAAGUCGAACGGUAACAGGGAGCUUGCUCCGCUGACGAGUGGCGAACGGGUGAGUAAUAUAUCGGAACGUGCCCUAGAGUGGGGGAUAACUAGUCGAAAGAUUAGCUAAUACCGCAUACGAUCUAAGGAUGAAAGUGGGGGAUCGCAAGACCUCAUGCUCGUGGAGCGGCCGAUAUCUGAUUAGCUAGUUGGUAGGGUAAAAGCCUACCAAGGCAUCGAUCAGUAGCUGGUCUGAGAGGACGAUCAGCCACACUGGGACUGAGACACGGCCCAGACUCCUACGGGAGGCAGCAGUGGGGAAUUUUGGACAAUGGGCGCAAGCCUGAUCCAGCAAUGCCGCGUGAGUGAAGAAGGCCUUCGGUUGUAAGUACUCUUUGUUCUAGGAAGGAAACGGG